Molecule: ribosomal RNA, 398 nt
Filed under: uncultured bacterium
Lineage: Bacteria
Description: partial 16S ribosomal RNA
Rfam family: Bacterial small subunit ribosomal RNA
Source: RNAcentral
AUACGUAGGGUGCGAGCGUUGUCCGGAAUUACUGGGCGUAAAGAGCUCGUAGGUGGUUUGUCGCGUCGUCUGUGAAAUUCCGGGGCUUCACUCCGGGCGUGCAGGCGAUACGGGCAUAACUUGAGUACUGUAGGGGAGACUGGAAUUCCUGGUGUAGCGGUGAAAUGCGCAGAUAUCAGGAGGAACACCGGUGGCGAAGGCGGGUCUCUGGGCAGUAACUGACGCUGAGGAGCGAAAGCAUGGGUAGCGAACAGGAUUAGAUACCCUGGUAGUCCAUGCCGUAAACGGUGGGCGCUAGGUGUAGGGGUCUUCCACGACUUCUGUGCCGUAGCUAACGCAUUAAGCGCCCCGCCUGGGGAGUACGGCCGCAAGGCUAAAACUUAAAGGAAUUGACGGGG